RNAcentral lists this ribosomal RNA (816 nucleotides) under uncultured marine archaeon. RNAcentral describes it as "bacterial SSU rRNA". It matches the Rfam family "Archaeal small subunit ribosomal RNA", at positions 52 to 874 of the family's 1478-position model. The record is from RNAcentral.
UGCGAGUCGAGAGUCCUCGGGACUCGGCAUACUGCUCAGUAACACGUGGAUAACCUGCCCUGUUCUAGGGGAUAACCUCGAGAAAUUGAGAAUAAUACCCUAUAGUCCACUACGCCUGGAACGGUGAGUGGAUAAAAGCUCCGGCGGAACAGGAUGGGUCUGCGGCAUAUCAGGUAGUAGUGGGUGUAAUGGACCCACUAGCCUUCGACGUGUACGGGUGUUGGGAGACAUAGCCCGGAGAUGGAUUCUGAGACACGAAUCCAGACCCUACGGGGUGCAGCAGGCGCGAAAACUUCACACUGCGGGAAACCGCGAUGAGGGAAUUCCAAGUGUCUGGGGUAAGACCCAGUCUUUUCUUGACUCUUAAUAGGUCUUGGAAUAAGGGGGGGGUAAGACCGGUGCCAGCCGCCGCGGUAAUACCGGCCCCCCAAGUGGUCGUCACUUUUAUUGGGCCUAAAACGUCCGUAGCCGGUUUAGUAAACCCGUGGGUAAAUCAACCAGCUUAACUGGUUGAAUUCUGCGGAGACUGCUAGACUAGGGACCGGGAGAGGUACGAGGUACUCCUGGGGUAGGGGUAAAAUUCCUGUCAUCCCAGGGGGACCACUUGUUGCCGAGGCGUCGUACUAGAACGGAUCCGACGGUCAGGGACGAAGCCUAGGGGCACGAACCGGAUUAGAUACCCGGGUAGUCCUAGUGCAAACGCUGUGGACUUGGUGUUGGGGAUUCCAUGAGGGUUUCCAGUGCCGAAGCGAAGUGUUAAGUCCACUGCCUGGGGAGUACGGUCGCAAGGCUGAAACUUAAAGGAAUUGGCGGGGG